Molecule: non-coding RNA, 113 nt
Organism: Salimicrobium flavidum
Lineage: Bacteria; Bacillati; Bacillota; Bacilli; Caryophanales; Bacillaceae
Source: Rfam
AUUACCUUUAAUGAACGUCCCGUGAGACUUCAAAGGUAAGGAGUAGAGCACAGGUGUAGUGGACACCUGGGCAGAAACCUCUUUGCUUAUUGAAGCGAAGAGGUUUUUUUGUA